RNAcentral lists this ribosomal RNA (254 nucleotides) under uncultured bacterium. RNAcentral describes it as "partial 16S ribosomal RNA". It matches the Rfam family "Archaeal small subunit ribosomal RNA", at positions 474 to 727 of the family's 1478-position model. The record is from RNAcentral. RNAcentral also lists the same sequence under 1 other name.
UACCGGCGGCUCGAGUGGUGGCCGAUAUUAUUGAGUCUAAAGGGUCCGUAGCCGGCUUUGCAAGUCCCCUGGGAAAUCCAGCGGCUUAACCGUUGGGCUUUCAUGGGAUACUACAUUGCUUGGGACUGGGAGAGGUAGGAGGUACUCGGGGGGUAGGGGUGAAAUCCUGUAAUCCUCCGGGGACCACCGGUGGCGAAGGCGUCCUACCAGAACAGGUCCGACGGUGAGGGACGAAAGCUAGGGGCACGAACCGG